RNAcentral lists this signal recognition particle RNA (305 nucleotides) under Solanum lycopersicum (tomato). Its description in RNAcentral is "Plant signal recognition particle RNA". It matches the Rfam family "Plant signal recognition particle RNA". Lineage: Eukaryota; Viridiplantae; Streptophyta; Magnoliopsida; Solanales; Solanaceae. The record is from Rfam by way of RNAcentral.
GCCGAGCUUAGUAAUGUGGGCUUGUAACCCAAAUGGGGGCAUUAAUGUGGUGGGAUAUUGGGCUGCACCAGAUGGUUGGGCUUGGUGGGCUAGUUUCUGGCUUGCCCUAUCCAAGCUCAGAGUUGGAUCACGUGGCCCAAUUGAAGAAAUGGGCUGCUUGAUUCCUAAAGUUUGGCGGGAACGCGUGAGGCUGGUUUUACAGAGCAACGAAUAGCUUUUGCUCUAAGCAGUGGAAGGAUAACGAGUCGGUGCCUCCCAAGUUCAGUUAACGCCUGAUGGGCUGCUCUAAUUAAACCACUACUUUU